This 306-nucleotide ribosomal RNA is filed under the name uncultured Latescibacterota bacterium. RNAcentral describes it as "bacterial SSU rRNA". It matches the Rfam family "Bacterial small subunit ribosomal RNA", at positions 1074 to 1382 of the family's 1533-position model. Lineage: Bacteria; Pseudomonadati; Candidatus Latescibacterota. The record is from RNAcentral.
UGGUUAGUCCGCAACGAGCGCAACCCUUAUCCCUAGUUGCCAUCAGGUAAAGCUGGGAACGUCUGGGGAGACGUGCCGGUGAUAAACCGGAGGAAGGCGGGGAUGACGUCAAGUCCUCAUGGCCCUUACAUCCCGGGCUACACACGUGCUACAAUGGCAGGUACAGAGGGCUGCGAAGCCGCGAGGUGGAGCGAAUCCCAGAAAACCUGUCUCAGUCCGGAUUGAAGUCUGCAACUCGACUUCAUGAAGGCGGAAUCGCUAGUAACCGCGAAUCAGCAGGUCGCGGUGAAUACGUUCCCGGGCCUU